GAACUGUGCGAACGUUAUUCGGGAAUCACUGGGGCUUAAAGGGUGCGUAGGCGGCGAUAUAGGGGUCAGGGUGCGAAAUCCCACGGGCUCAACCGUGGAACUGCGCUUGAAACCAUAUUGCUUGAGGGAGUCAGAGGUAAGCGGAACUGAUGGUGGAGCGGUGAAAUGCGUUGAUAUUAUCAGGAACACCGGUGGCGAAAGCGGCUUACUGGGACUUUUCUGACGCUGAGGCACGAAAGCCAGGGGAGCGAACGGGAUUAGAUACCCCGGUAGUCCUGGCUGUAAACGAUCUGUACUAGUCUGUGGGGACUUCCACAUCCUCUCGGACGUAGCGAAAGUGUUAAGUACAGCGCCUGGGGAGUAUGGUCGCAAAGGCUG
Molecule: ribosomal RNA, 378 nt
Filed under: uncultured organism
Description: partial 16S ribosomal RNA
Rfam family: Bacterial small subunit ribosomal RNA
Source: RNAcentral